UCAAUCAACAAUUCAGGUCGUACGUGCACGCGUUGUAACUGUAUUAAAAUAAAAUAAAAAUAACCUUCUAUCUGAAUAUAUCUAAUUAUUGAAGCGACCAGCACAAAAUACAGUCCACGCUCUACACAAUUCACACCCGAAAUUUAAAGUCGUGGGUCCGUUAGUUGUUCUUCUUGGAUAGUUUUCAAUGACUUGUAUACUUUAAACGGCCUAAAGAAUAAGACGUCCGCUGUACCUACUAGUACCUACUAAAAUAGAGAGCGAUGCUACUGUGCGAUAGCAUUAAAAUCCCGCAGGCAGGUAACAAUUUUUCUAAUAAAUUACGUACCUACGUAACACAAAUAAUGUUCACAAAUAAUUUCUACGAUGAAGGAAUCGCCAGGGCAGGCCUAUUUCUGCAAGCAAUAAUGGGAUCCUACUUGAAUAUGCUUGUCUUUCCAUAAAUUGAAUCCUUUUUUCUUGUUGUUCAAGCAAGACAAAGAAACAUAAUUUUCUUCGGUAUCGAAGAGAGUGAGACAUCCUAUCAUAAUUUGGAGAAAAAUAUGUUGCAAUUCAUAAGUGAAAAAUUGUCCUUAAAAUUGGAUUGUAGAGAUAUUCCAGAAAUAAAAAGUAUUAUUAUUAUUAUUAUUAUUACUUGAAUAUGGCCAGCCGGUAUACUAUAGAAUUUAAACCUCACGUCGCAAGGUGAGACGGUAUUCAUUUUGCGAUGUGUAUGGGUAGUCACGUAACGUCAGGAAGGCCGGAAGCUGGUUCAUAUAAACAAUAAAAAAACCAAUCGCAAGGUAAUCCAAAAAAGUAACCAGUUUUCUAUAUAUAGUAAGUUUACCGCCUGUUUAUAAUGAAAUUAAACUAAUAAUAGUACAUGUUCAAAUGAAAAAAUUUGAGUAAGUAUGUGUGUAACAUUAUUAAUAGUAGGUUGUAGCCUUCCAUUGUGAUGCCUUUUAUCGUGCCUUUUAUGAAGAAAUAUCCAUUAGAGGCGGAACGAGACCGCGCCAAGAAAACUUCCUCGUCUAGACUGAGCUCACGACUGUUAACCCUGUACUACAUACCUUACUCGGAACAGCGGUAUGAUGUUAAAAAAACACUUUGUUCCUAAUUACUUCAGAUUUGUAUUUCAAAAUGGUUACAUAUAAAAACGCUUUUUUUUUUUCAUUUAUUUAUUGUCUUUUAGUCAAACUCUGGCUCGUGAACAUCAGCAAUGCAGGAGCCACAGUCAAGCUGCUGCCUUCUAUUGAAUACUCUUUUCAAACAUUGAACAUGUUAUAGCGCUCGAGAUUAUUAAAUGCAUAUUAAAGAAAGUUUUAAUAAAA
Molecule: long non-coding RNA, 1310 nt
Organism: Bombyx mori (domestic silkworm)
Lineage: Eukaryota; Metazoa; Arthropoda; Insecta; Lepidoptera; Bombycidae
Exons: 2
Source: RefSeq, a predicted model, not a curated record